ACCCGGCGGCCGUGGUCCCUGCGCGCGGCACGAGGCAUGGUAUCUCCCAGAAUAUCCUGUGAAUGUUCGCAUUAGUCUGCUCAUCAGAUUGCUUUCCAACCAAAAAAUACUGUGUUCUACAAAGGAGGAGCAUCUUUAUCUCAAAGCAGCAGUUCUUAUCGCCAAGUAUUCAGCAUCUCUUUGGAAUUCAUUUGUCAGCCUCUCUGGUUCCGGGAGCUGUAUUUGCCUAUCUUAGUUUGCUGAGUGCAGCGAAGAAUCUAGAACAGUGGUUCUCACACCAGCAUCAUUUGCAUCCAGUGUGAGCUUCUUUGAAAUGCAAAUUUGAAGGCCUCACCCCAAACUACUGAAUCAGAAUCUCUGGUGUUGGGGCCCCAGGAGACUACUUAAGCAAGCUCUCCUGGGGAUGCCUGUGCCCCCCCAGAGUUUGAGAAUGAUUGCUCCAGAAGAAUACCUAUACAGGGCUGCACUGAAGCCCGGGGGUAAAAAGAAAACAGAGGUUAACUUGCUUCGAGAUAUCCUGCUGACAAGAUAUGACUUGGUCUCUCCGACAUAUGUGACUCCCAACCCAACUAGUUCCUAGCUUGCUGUUUCUAAAGGACCCCAAAUGUAGACUUUUGCCCCUUUUGAAGUCAAGAUCAGAAGUUCUCAGGAUUUUAAAAUGUCAGGCUUCCCUAUUGCCCCCAAAUUGUUCAAAGUCCUUUGAUAGUAGGCAUACUUUUAUGUGCAUACUGUUUAUAUAUUUGAGGAAAUAUAUAAUGAACAAAGUCUAUUAAUUUAAAAAAUUACAAAUUCAUUUAAAAGAAUUAUGAAAUUAAGUAGCAAAGUGUAUUUUUAAAUAAUAGUACAUAUAUGUAUGAGAUACUCAUUUUACAGAUAAUGCUUGGUGGAUUACAUAUUUGGAUUCAUAGCAAUGUCUUCAACUUACUCCUUGGCCCCUUCAAUCCCUGUUUGGGAACCACUGCUCUAGACCAAAGGAAAUGAAGCAUAGCGAGAGUUUGGAGUCCCUUCUUUCACUGGAACAAGGCCUGCCUUCUGCACUUUAGUAUACUGUUUAAGAGGUUGGCAUUUGGGGAAGUGAUUAAGUUAUGAGGGUUCUGCUCUCAUGAAUUUGAUUAGUGCCUCAUAAAAGGACUGGAGGGAAUUAGCUUGGGCCGUUUUUGCCCUUCUGUCCUGCCAUGUGAAGGCCCCUAGGUGGCACCAUGAGGAAUGGGCCUUCAGCAGACACCAAACCUGCUGGUGCCUUGACCUUGGACUUCUCAGCCUUCAGAACUGUGAGAAAUAAAUUUCUGUUAUUUGCAAAUGACACAGUUGCAGCUAUUUCAUUAUAGCAGCACAAACAGACUACCCUUAUAGCUAGAACUUCAGAGGCACAAGCAUAUCAAAAUACAGCCUAAAAGCCUGGUGUCUACAAGAGCUGUACAUUUAUAGAGCUGGGCAGACAUUUGUUAUACAAAUUCAGAUUGUACAGAUUACAGUGAGAAUGAACUUCAGUUAAAUAUAUGUAGUUUUUAAUAAACUUUUAAUUGAAAUAUACACAAAAAUGCACACAAAUCACAAGUGCAUAGCUCAGGGAGUUUUUACAGAGUGAACAUAGCUGUCUAUCAAUACUCAGGCCAAGAACAGGAAAUUUAUCUCUCCUCCAGAAAGCCCCUGGAGCGCCAUCCUAAAUCCUCCCCCUUGAGUAACCAGCCCCAAGCCCUCUAACACCGUAGAUUAGUUUUGCCUUUUUUGAACUUUGUUUAAUUAUAUAAUAUGUGCUUUUUAAUGUCUGACUGCUUUUGCUCAAGUUAGUGAGAGUCAUCCACGUUGUAGGAAUAGUUUGUUCAUUCUUGCUGCUAAAUAGCAUAUGAUUGUUUGAGUCUACUACCAUUUAUUUGUUCUGAAUUUGGUUGUUUCCAGUUUGGCCUUCUCAUGAAGAGAACCAUUAAGGACAUGUUUGUCCUUGUCUUUUGGUAGACAUACACUCAUUUCUUGUGGGCAUAUGUCUAGGAGUGGGAUUGCUGGAUUGCAGUGUAUCUAUAUGUUCAUCAUACACUGCUGAACAGUUUUCUGAGUGAUUGCACCCGCACUUGAGCUUGGACACAGGAUAAGGAUGGCCACUAUCAUCACUUCUGUUCUAUACUGUAUAGUUAUAGCAACAAGUGAGGAAAAUUAAGAAGUGGUAUAAUGAUUGGAAAGGAUGAAACAAAGUUGAUAUUAUAGCCAAUAUAUUGUACACAUAGAAAAUCCAAAGUAAUCUACAGGUCAACUAUUAGAUUAAUAAGUGAAUUUAGGCUAGGUGCAGUGGCUCACACCUGUAAUCCGAGCACUUUGGGAAGUCAAAGUGGGAGGAUCACUUGAGGCCAGUAGUUGGAGACCAGCCUGGGUAACAUAGUGAGACUCCAUCUCUAAAAAUAAAAAAAUUAGAAAAAAAAAUUGAAUUUAGAGAUGUCUUUGAAAACAAAGUCAAUAUAAGAAAAAGCAGUUGUAUUUUUUUUUUUUUUUUUGAUGGAGUCACUCUGUCGCCCAGGCUGGAGUGCAGCGGUGCAAUCUCAGCUCAUUGCAACCUCUGCCUCCUGGGUUCACGCCAUUCUCCCGCCUCAGCCUCCCAAGUAGUUGGGAAUACAGGUGCCCGCCACCACGCCUGGCUAAUUUUUUAGUAGAGAUGGGGUUUCACCGUGUUAGCCAGUAUAGUCUUGAUCUCCUGACCUCGUGAUCCGCCCACCUUGGCCUCCCAAAGUGCUGGGAUUACAGGUGUGAGCCACUGCGCCCGGCAGAAAAAGCAGUUGUAUUUCUACAUAGCAACAGCAACUAGAAAAUUUUUAAACAUUGGAAUAUAAACUAUUCCGAAAAAUUCUUAACAAAAGAUUAGCAAAACCUCUAGUCUGAAAACCACAACAUAUCACUCAGAGGAAUGAAAGAAGAGCUAAAUAAAUGGAAGGAUAUACGAUGUAAUGUCUUGGAAACUUUAGUAUUGUAAAGUUGCCAGUGCUUCUCAAAGUCAUGUAUGAAUUCAGUGCAAUCUCAAUCAAAAUCUCACCAUAUUUUUGUAGUGGAAAUUGACAAGCUGAUGCUACCAUUUACAAAUAAAAAUGCAAGGGGCCAAGAAUAGCCAAAAUAAUCUUAAGGAAGAAGAAAAUGGAAGUUUUACCUCACCAGAUAAUAAGAUUUACUCUAAAGCUACGAUAAUUAAAACAGCGUGUUCUUAGUGUGAAGAUAGACAAAUAGAAGAAUGGAACAGAAUAGAGUCUAAAGAAGAACUCAAGGGCCAAAAGUAGCCAAGAAGAACAGAUCUGGAAGACAUUAUCCCUCCAGAUAUCAAGAUCUCUUAUAAAGAUAUGUGGUAUCGACGCAAGGAAAGGCAAGCUGACCAAGGCAAGCUGACCAGUGGAACUAAACAAAGUCCAGAAACAGGUUCACACAUAUAGUCAUCCGGUGUGUAUCUUUGUGUGUGUGUAUUUCACAAAGGCUUAAAGUAAUGUGUCUUCAAUAAAUGGUGCUACAUCCAAAAGAGCAUAACUAUAUGUUUCCAUUUUAUAUGAAGUUCAAAAAUAGACAACAGAAUAGUGAUUACCUCUGGAGGCAGCUGGGGGCUGCCUCUGGUAGGGUGGGGGUGUUGCCUGGGAAGAAGCAUGAGAGAAUCUUCAGGGGUCCUGGAAAUAUUCCAUAUCUUGAUUUGGUUGGUGGUACACUGUUGUGUAUAAUAUACACGUAUUUGUACAUGUGUGUAUAAAAUGUCAUUGAGCUCCACAUUUAAGAUUUUUUGGACUUUAUUAUAUGUAUGCUAACCUCAAUAAAACUAAAAAAUUCCUCACUCGAGUGAAAACUUUUUUAAUUUAAAUAAAAAUAAACGGUAUUUCAUUUAGAAAUGGAAACCAGGCACAUUAUCUUACACAGUAUUUCAUAAACUACCAUCACCUAGUGAAUAUAGCAAAAGACUGUAUAUGGCUUCAAAGCCACAUAAUGCACCUAAAUUCUCUAAAAUUGCCAGCAAUUACAAAGUGAUAGAUAUGAGCCACAUAGGAUCAAGAUGGGGAUUCACUCAUUCCAUAUUUUGGAGCCACAAAGUAUAUCUGCUGCCUAGGUUUGGACCAAAUGCAAUUAAUGUAUCAAACAAAAAAUCCUAAUAUUUAUUCAGCUUCAUCCACAGCCUCCA
This 4135-nucleotide long non-coding RNA is filed under the name Homo sapiens (human). RNAcentral describes it as "non-protein coding lnc-SEH1L-5:6". The record is from RNAcentral. Lineage: Eukaryota; Metazoa; Chordata; Mammalia; Primates; Hominidae.